GAGUUUGAUCCUGGCUCAGAUUGAACGCUGGCGGAAUGCUUUACACAUGCAAGUCGAACGGCAGCACGGGGGCAACCCUGGUGGCGAGUGGCGAACGGGUGAGUAAUACAUCGGAACGUGCCCAGUCGUGGGGGAUAACGUAGCGAAAGCUACGCUAAUACCGCAUACGAUCUCUGGAUGAAAGCGGGGGACCGCAAGGCCUCGCGCGAUUGGAGCGGCCGAUGGCAGAUUACGUAGUUGGUGGGGUAAAGGCUCACCAAGCCGACGAUCUGUAGCUGGUCUGAGAGGACGACCAGCCACACUGGGACUGAGACACGGCCCAGACUCCUACGGGAGGCAGCAGUGGGGAAUUUUGGACAAUGGGCGCAAGCCUGAUCCAGCCAUUCCGCGUGCAGGAUGAAGGCCCUCGGGUUGUAAACUGCUUUUGUACGGAACGAAAAG
This 441-nucleotide ribosomal RNA is filed under the name uncultured bacterium. Its description in RNAcentral is "bacterial SSU rRNA". It matches the Rfam family "Bacterial small subunit ribosomal RNA", at positions 9 to 452 of the family's 1533-position model. The record is from RNAcentral.